RNAcentral lists this transfer RNA (87 nucleotides) under Flavonifractor plautii. RNAcentral describes it as "tRNA-Leu". It matches the Rfam family "tRNA". From Rfam's summary of the family: Transfer RNA (tRNA) molecules are approximately 80 nucleotides in length. Lineage: Bacteria; Bacillati; Bacillota; Clostridia; Eubacteriales; Oscillospiraceae. The record is from RNAcentral. RNAcentral also lists the same sequence under 1 other name.
GCCGGUGUGGCGGAAUUGGCAGACGUGCGGGAUUUAGGUUCCCGUGUCUAAAUUGACGUGUGGGUUCGAGUCCCAUCGCCGGCACCA